CAUCACCAGCUUUGAAUGAAAUGACUACUUUGAAGACAAGGGUGCCUACCCAUCAUUGACUGCCUGAUGCUUAGUUUCCAUGGAGAUUUUCAGAGCUACCUGACACAGGUUUCAAUUGUCACUGCCUCAGACUUUUUCUUGGGAAAAACAUCCAUGACUUUUGAAGAGAGCUUCUGCUACACUCUGCAAGCCUGCUCCCUGACUCCAAGCAUCUGGCAGAGCUACUCGGAAGAAGGCAAGUCACCAAGCCAGAACAUUGUGAGUGGCAGCUGUUCACAGCAAGAUGACUCCACAUGGAAAGAUUGCCCACAGCAAAGCCAGUAUUACUUUAUUCCAAGGAGUUUUCUUAGGAUUUCACUUCAGCCAGCAUCCUGGUUUUUUGCCUCUUUGGUGAAUCAAAGGAGCUGAUAAAAUUUGUUUGUAACUCUUCAGAAAUUUUGGUCCAGCUGUAUCUUCCCCAGCCACUGUACCUAACACUUCACCUUCCAUUUUGUUUAGGGCUCUUUUGAACACUUUAGGGUCCUUUGGAACCAUUCCUGGUGACUUUUCUUGGUGAUUGGCUUUGUCUUUCCCGGUUCUUCUGAGCUAUUUCAGUUUUGUAGAAGUAUUUUUUGAACUAUUAUGCCAUUUGUACGGUGGGUCUUAGACUAUUUGAGUAUCUGGCCUAUGAUAGGGAAGGCUUCUUAGGUUUUACUGAGCCAGUACAGCUCUGUAGAAUCGUAUGAGAUAGGGAGGCAGGGGUAUCAAGGAGAUCACGGGUGUGAGUAACAUGACCAUAAAAUACAGGAAGUCUAUCCUAUGGUUUUUACGAUGGCAUCUAAAGCUACUUGGUGCAAUCAGUGUAUGGCUGACCUUCCUAAAAACAAGUAACAAACUCCAGCCACUUGGCAUGCCUUUAUCAAAAGAUCUUGUUUAUAGAUACAUACACACAUUUGUGUGCAUCUCUUAGAGACAUUUUUUUAGGCUAUAUUAAUCCUCAGAGUUAUAUUUUUUUCUCUCUUCCUUCAAAAAAGUGGUUAGCGAAGAUGCAAGAACUUAGCAAAUUUGAAACAAACAAACAAAGGCCCAAUUUUACUGGAUUUCCUUCAGGGACUCUCUAUAAAGGUUAAUUAAUGGAUAUGUUAAUUUUGAGCUUGCUAUGCCCUACUCAGAGUUACUCCGUAUUUUAUAAUACUUCUUGGGCUUUUUGUUGUUUGUUUAUUUUUCGAGACAGGGUUUCUCCCACUUUGUAGACCAGGCUGGCCUGGAACUCACUGAGAUCUGCCUGCCUAUGUCU
This is a non-coding RNA of Cricetulus griseus (Chinese hamster), 1276 nucleotides long. The record is from RefSeq and is a predicted model, not a curated record. Lineage: Eukaryota; Metazoa; Chordata; Mammalia; Rodentia; Cricetidae.